CUACGGGCCGCAGCAGUGGGGAAUAUUGCAUAAUGGGCGAAAGCCUGAUGCAGCAACGCCGCGUGAAGGAAGAAGGUUUUCGGAUCGUAAACUUCUAUCAGCAAGGAAGAUAAUGACGGUACUUGACUAAGAAGCCCCGGCUAACUACGUGCCAGCAGCCGCGGUAAUACGUAGGGGGCAAGCGUUAUCCGGAAUUACUGGGUGUAAAGGGUGCGUAGACGGUAAUGUAAGUCAGGUGUGAAAGCCCGAAGCUCAACUUCGGGACUGCACUUGAAACUACAUAACUAGAGUACAGGAGAGGAAAGUGGAAUUCCUAGUGUAGCGGUGAAAUGCGUAGAUAUUAGGAGGAACACCAGUGGCGAAGGCGACUUUCUGGACUGUAACUGACGUUGAGGCACGAAAGCGUGGGGAGCGAACAGGAUUAGAUACCCGCGUAGUC
This 439-nucleotide ribosomal RNA is filed under the name uncultured bacterium. RNAcentral's name for it is "partial 16S ribosomal RNA". It matches the Rfam family "Bacterial small subunit ribosomal RNA", at positions 339 to 795 of the family's 1533-position model. The record is from RNAcentral.